AGGGAAGACAGCAAAGACAGUGAGGGAGAGAGCAGACAUCUGUCUCUGGGGUGCUUAUCUGUGUGGAAGAGACCGGUCCUUCCUGAUUGGCUUCAUGUCCCUCAAGGUGUUCUCCUGGCUGCUCAAGUAUUUACCCAUCUGUGUGUGACUCAUAUCCAGGCACCCAGGCGGCUUCCCUUCAGUCGAUUGCUGCCUCCGGAAGAUGAGCCUCCCCUGCCGCUCCACAAGGUUCAAGUGCUUCAAUGAAAUGAAAGAGAACUCCAGUCUG
This 268-nucleotide long non-coding RNA is filed under the name Mus pahari (shrew mouse). RNAcentral describes it as "lncRNA (MGP_PahariEiJ_G0005358.1)". The record is from RNAcentral. Lineage: Eukaryota; Metazoa; Chordata; Mammalia; Rodentia; Muridae.